This 1091-nucleotide long non-coding RNA is filed under the name Carassius auratus (goldfish). RNAcentral's name for it is "lncRNA (ENSCARG00000053108.1)". Lineage: Eukaryota; Metazoa; Chordata; Actinopteri; Cypriniformes; Cyprinidae. The record is from RNAcentral.
UAAAUAUUAAGUUGUUAAAUCAAAGGUCAAUUAUUUUUAUACUCAUAUUUAAAUGUUAUAUUUAAUUAAAAGUAAAUCAAAAACAUAAUGUGUAAAUAAUAAUUAAUCUAAUAAUUAAUUUGAUUAAUUAGAUUGUCGGCCGGACCUUCGCAGAUGCGCGUCUCCUCGUUGAGGUAGUAUCCGGCAGGACACUCGCACUGGAAGCUACCGAAUGUGUUGACACAGUUUCCCCCUUGACACAGACCAGGCAGCUCCUGGCACUCAUCGAUAUCUGUGAGCGAGACAGAGAGAUUAUUAAUGUAGGCGCCAUUAGACUCACAGACCGCAGGCGUUGUGGUGUUGAUCCGCUCUUACCCUCCAGGAUGACGGUGAUGGGAUUUGGCCGGAAACCCUCUCCGCCGGGACACAGAGUUUUGUACUCGGCUGAGUUGAUGGGUGGGCAGAGUUCGCAGGGGUUUCCCCAGGCUCCGCCCAGCGAGCAGCAGCAGGACGCUCGGGUCACGCCCACCCCGAUCUCAGCGCUGCACGAGAUGCCUCCGUCGCCGCGGUCCAGCGUGUCCAGGAAGCAGUUCCCCACCCUCGUGUCUGACAGAGAACAGAGACUAGAUGCAUUACGUUUACAGUGAUGGUGAUGAAUGUGGAAGACUCAAGUUGGACGGUUUCAGUACCGACGCAGCCCACGCCCGACGGGUUGAGCUCGAAGUCUGGAGGACAGUUGCACUGGUAGCUGCCGGGCAGAUUCACACACACGCCGUUGAUGCAGUUCACAGGGUCGAAACACUCGUUAAUGUCUGACAAAGAGAGACGAAAGUGAGAAACGACACAUGGUCCAAAAAUAAAUACGUUUAAUAAAUGUAAUUAAUUCGUUUGUUUUAGUACUAAAUUACACAACUAAAUGCAAAACAAACAAUAACAUUAAUAAGUUGCUUAACAUUGAAAUUCCAUAAAUAAGCAAUUAUACAAUUAAAUACAAAAUAAUUUCGCAAUUUUAUUAUGAAUUGAAAUAUAAAUUAAAAUACUGAUAUAAAUGUAAGACAAUUAUUUCGUUAAAAUUAUUUUAUUUCAACUAAAAUUACACAAUUAAUAUGGUU